GCAACCAGACUCUACUCCCAAAAAUGUCAUCAUGUUGACACCCCCAUUGGUAGGACUGGAAGCUUUAGUGAAGUGAAGUGAAGUGAGAGAACUCUGGCCUCAAAGUGAGAUAUUGCCUCAUAAUGAGGGAUUAUUCUAGGGCAUUAUGAUGUGUUACUACUCCAUGAACAUUCAUCAUAACACUGUUAUGAGGGGAUUGGAUGGUUCUAGGUCAGGCGUUCAGAGAGCUAUUCUGAGCAGCAUGUAGGGGCUUGGCAGGAAGGGAGCCCGGCUGAUGCUUCUGCAGGCUGGAACCAGUGGCUUGGUGGGCCAGAUGCAGCCUGCGUUUUGCCUGCCCCUGUUCUAGGUGGCUACUACCUGUGUCUUCCCCAUUUUCUGGAUGUCCAACAUGAAACACCUGAGAACAGAUUUUCAGAAAUGUUGAGCAUUCACAACUGAAUUGAAGUCAAUUGGAGUGGGGCACUGAACACAAAGGCUACGUCUACACUGGCCACAAUUUCCGGAAAAGCCAUGCAAAUCAGAUAGCAAGCAGCGGAGGGACAGCUUUGAAGUGAAAUCUUCUUGAUUGGCAGACAUCAGCACUGGAGCAGACAUUCAGGCAAGCUGGCUUUAUGAGCAAGAAGGAGCAGUUUGAUGACUUGUAAAACAUUUAUAAAGGAAGAAUUUUAAACUUCCAUGGCAACACAUUAGCACAAGUAAAAUUUCUUUGUCAACACAAAAAAUAGCCUUCAAAACUUCGUGAUUUCCUCAAGAACAAGAUAGAAAUGGCUUUGGACUAGAAGAAUUGUGGGAUCUAAGCUGGAAUCAUUUGGCAAACAGAGCAAAGGAAGGAUGGCUCAGUGGUCAAGUCACUGACCUGAGAACUACAAAUUCAAUCCCCUCUUCUGCCCCAGACUUCUUGGGGAUAAACAGCACUUCCUACAACAUCAUAGAGGUUGAUUUGGUCUCUUUAAUGGUCAACAGGAGUCAGCUAGAAGAAUAAGACACAUGCUACCCAUCACUACAUAGUGUGCAGUAGUCAAGUGGGUUCAGAUACCUCCAGGACCACAUUGCCUCCAGACACAAUGAUGUUUUUCCUCUGCCACACACCAUAAGACUAUGGGAAAUAAAGAAGCAGAGAGAAUGAACUGAAGAACACCUAUUUUGUAAGGUCAUCCCUCCAGCUCUUCACCCAUUGCAGACUGAAACACCUCUGGGAGUUAGUCCUGAUUGAAUCAGCAGAUGUGCUCCAGCCCUACAAGGGGAA
Pelodiscus sinensis (Chinese soft-shelled turtle) is the source of this 1246-nucleotide non-coding RNA. The record is from RefSeq and is a predicted model, not a curated record. NCBI's taxonomy places the organism in Eukaryota, Metazoa, Chordata, Testudines, Trionychidae.